This 446-nucleotide ribosomal RNA is filed under the name Tupaia picta (Painted treeshrew). RNAcentral describes it as "partial 12S ribosomal RNA". Lineage: Eukaryota; Metazoa; Chordata; Mammalia; Scandentia; Tupaiidae. The record is from RNAcentral.
UUAAUCCAAAUUAAUAGAUCACGGCGUAAAGAGUGUUUAUGAUAAUCUAAAAAUAAAGUCAAAUAAAGCCCAAGCUGUAAAAUGCUACCGGCCCACUAAGAACAAUAACGAAAGUAACUUUAUUAUAUCAGACUACACGAUAAUUAAGACCCAAACUGGGAUUAGAUACCCCACUAUGCUUAAUUGUAAACAUAAGUAGUUCAACAACAAAAUUACUCGCCAGAGUACUACGUGCCACAGCCCAAAACUCAAAGGACUUGGCGGUGCUUUAUAUCCAUCUAGAGGAGCCUGUUCUGUAAUCGAUAAACCCCGAUACACCUCACCACCCCUUGCUAAUACAGCCUANNNNNNNNNNNNUUCAGCAAACCCUAAAAAGGACGCCAAGUAAGCCCAAUCAUAUAUCAUAAAAAAGUUAGGUCAAGGUGUAGCCUAUGGGAUGGGAAGUA